CAGUAAAUAGUUUAAAUUAAAAUUUUAAUUUUGGAGAUUAAUAAUGAACUUAGUUCUUUACUGA
Molecule: transfer RNA, 64 nt
Filed under: Cazira horvathi
Lineage: Eukaryota; Metazoa; Arthropoda; Insecta; Hemiptera; Pentatomidae
Description: tRNA-Pro
Source: RNAcentral